RNAcentral lists this ribosomal RNA (572 nucleotides) under uncultured bacterium. Its description in RNAcentral is "bacterial SSU rRNA". It matches the Rfam family "Bacterial small subunit ribosomal RNA", at positions 94 to 663 of the family's 1533-position model. The record is from RNAcentral.
AGUGGCGGACGGGUGAGUAACGCGUAGGAAUCUGCCUAGUAGUGGGGGACAACUCGGAGAAAUUCGAGCUAAUACCGCAUACGCCCUACGGGGGAAAGCGGGGGAUCUUCGGACCUCGCGCUAUUAGAUGAGCCUGCGUUAGAUUAGCUAGUUGGUGGGGUAAAGGCCUACCAAGGCGACGAUCUAUAGCUGGUCUGAGAGGACGAUCAGCCACACUGGGACUGAGACACGGCCCAGACUCCUACGGGAGGCAGCAGUGGGGAAUAUUGGACAAUGGGCGCAAGCCUGAUCCAGCAAUACCGCGUGUGUGAAGAAGGCCUGAGGGUUGUAAAGCACUUUCAAUAGGGAGGAAAAAGCGAGGCUUAAUACGUCUUGCCUUGACAUUACCUUUAGAAGAAGCACCGGCUAACUCCGUGCCAGCAGCCGCGGUAAUACGGAGGGUGCGAGCGUUAAUCGGAAUUACUGGGCGUAAAGCGUACGUAGGCGGUUAUUUAAGUCAGAUGCGAAAGCCCCGGGCUUAACCUGGGAACUGCAUUUGAUACUGGGUAACUUGAGUUUAGUAGAGGGGAGUG